RNAcentral lists this transfer RNA (81 nucleotides) under Malassezia sympodialis ATCC 42132. Its description in RNAcentral is "tRNA-Leu (CAG) (tRNA-Leu-CAG-1-1)". It matches the Rfam family "tRNA". From Rfam's summary of the family: Transfer RNA (tRNA) molecules are approximately 80 nucleotides in length. The record is from RNAcentral. Lineage: Eukaryota; Fungi; Basidiomycota; Malasseziomycetes; Malasseziales; Malasseziaceae.
GGCAAGAUGGCCGAGUGGUCUAAGGCGCUGUGUUCAGGUCGCAGUCUCCCUGAGGCGUGGGUUCGAAUCCCACUCUUGUCA